RNAcentral lists this ribosomal RNA (819 nucleotides) under uncultured bacterium. RNAcentral's name for it is "bacterial SSU rRNA". It matches the Rfam family "Bacterial small subunit ribosomal RNA", at positions 8 to 828 of the family's 1533-position model. The record is from RNAcentral.
AGAGUUUGAUCCUGGCUCAGGAUGAACGCUGGCGGCGUGCUUAACACAUGCAAGUCGAACGGGAAACCUUUUAUUGAAGCUUCGGCAGAUUUAGCUGGUUUCUAGUGGCGGACGGGUGAGUAACGCGUGGGUAACCUGCCCUGUACAGGGGGAUAACAGUUGGAAACGGCUGCUAAUACCGCAUAAGCGCACGAGAGGACAUCCUCUUGUGUGAAAAACUCCGGUGGUACAGGAUGGGCCCGCGUCUGAUUAGCUGGUUGGCAGGGUAACGGCCUACCAAGGCGACGAUCAGUAGCCGGUCUGAGAGGAUGAACGGCCACAUUGGAACUGAGACACGGUCCAAACUCCUACGGGAGGCAGCAGUGGGGAAUAUUGCACAAUGGGGGAAACCCUGAUGCAGCAACGCCGCGUGAGUGAAGAAGUAUUUCGGUAUGUAAAGCUCUAUCAGCAGGGAAGAUAAUGACGGUACCUGACUAAGAAGCUCCGGCUAAAUACGUGCCAGCAGCCGCGGUAAUACGUAUGGAGCAAGCGUUAUCCGGAUUUACUGGGUGUAAAGGGUGCGUAGGUGGCAGUGCAAGUCAGAUGUGAAAGGCCGGGGCUCAACCCCGGAGCUGCAUUUGAAACUGCAUAGCUAGAGUACAGGAGAGGCAGGCGGAAUUCCUAGUGUAGCGGUGAAAUGCGUAGAUAUUAGGAGGAACACCAGUGGCGAAGGCGGCUUACUGGACGGUAACUGACGUUGAGGCUCGAAAGCGUGGGGAGCAAACAGGAUUAGAUACCCUGGUAGUCCACGCGGUAAACGAUGAAUGCUAGGUGUCGGGG